Molecule: long non-coding RNA, 816 nt
Filed under: Vigna radiata
Lineage: Eukaryota; Viridiplantae; Streptophyta; Magnoliopsida; Fabales; Fabaceae
Description: long non-coding RNA (VRAD_LNC012481)
Source: RNAcentral
GGAAUUCUUCUAUUUUCUUUUUUUAUUUUAACUUUCUGAGACGUGUUUUAAUGAUAAAAUCGAAAUGAAAUUUUGAAUUGAACAAUACGACGAAUGUAAUAAUUAACUUUACAGUAUAUUAUUUUAACUGAUCGGAAUACGUGACUAAUUUAUUCUAUGUAUCGAUCAAAUUAACAAUACACAAACUCAUGCCAAUGAACAAAACUAGUCUGAAAAAAAUUGAAGGAACAAACGAAUUUUUGAAUAUGAUCUAAUGAACAUGGUUAGAACUCAAAGGUGGCAACCACAGCAAAGGUAGAAAACACAAAGCGUGGAAACAAUAACAACCCCUUCCACGACAGAGACAAUCUUGUAAACGAUGUUGUCGACGAUGGUGGUGUGUAUGUGGAGUCGUUUUCCUCGAAACGACGACGACAACCUUCGUGGCCACAACUCCUUGCUCAGCUUCUUAAACGACCAGCUUGUACCCUUCUUCUCCAUCAAAUGAUUCUUAAGUAUCAACCAAAAGGGUCUGAAAUUUUCUUUGGUUUGGUCGUUUUUGUUUAGUGUGUGUAUGUGGAGAGAGGGUGUGUGAAGUGCCUUUUAUAUGCGUAGAAAACAAAGAAAUAUGAUGUUAGUGUCUUGGACGAUGCUUCAACGACAAGGCUUUUGGCUGGCACUGCCCAUGUUUUGCUGGCCAAAGAUUACACGUAAAAUUGCACUUUCCUUCUGGACUGGUCCUCUUUCAGAUUCUUCAAUACUACAUUAUAUAUGUUAUUCAUGUUGUUGCUUGCAAUUCUGUGACUUAAAAAUUUGACACAAAUAUAAGAAAAAUUG